This 929-nucleotide long non-coding RNA is filed under the name Arabidopsis thaliana (thale cress). Its description in RNAcentral is "potential natural antisense gene, locus overlaps with AT4G40080 (AT4G40085)". Lineage: Eukaryota; Viridiplantae; Streptophyta; Magnoliopsida; Brassicales; Brassicaceae. The record is from RNAcentral.
AAUCUGCCCAUAAUUAUCCUCUAAAUUACCAAUAAUACCCUUGACCUCAAGAACCAAACCCCAGAACCCAUCAAUCCAACCUCUCUUCCAAUUCCCAUGGCAGAUUUCAGACAACCUCUCUUUACAACUCUCGAGCCGCUUCAAAGCACAGACAAGCUCGAUCGUAUCUCCAAAGCUCAAAGUGUUGGAUCGUUCUUUAAACUCGUUGAAUCUCGUGUAAAGCUCGUUGAUCGAAGACACGUAGUCUUCUCCUACCAACUGAGUGAUUUUGUCUGCGAGGGAUUUCCCACCGGAGAAGGGUAGAUCCGGAAUUUUACAUGCUUCUUCUAGUAGACCAACGAGAGCAUCGAUCUCACGAAGCAGAUCAGAGUUGAAAGCUCCCACAUCAAAGGAGAUUUCUCAUCUCUAAAAGCAGAAAGUUUCAGAUAAUUCCGACCACCGGAAGCUGGAAAUACAGAGAGCUGAUCUUGGAGGAUGAAACGACCGUGUUUGACGAUGUGAUGGAUAAUGAUCAAAGACUUGAGAGCUACGCAAGCAUCUCCGGUGGUGUGAAGACGUUCCAUUAUGGAUUCGACAGCUGAAGAAGCGGUGGCUCGUGAGCCAGUACCGGCGGAGAGAAUAACGGCGAGGUGACGAUUCCCCGGCGGCGUUGAAGGGUCAUGAGUAGUGGCACGGAGGACAGAGAGAUGGAAAGAGAGAGUUUUGCUUUUAGUGUUUGAUGAUACUAAAGCAGCUUUGCUUUGAGAAGCUUUGUCUUUGAUUCUACCUAUUAGAUCUGCAAAACUUGUUAUUCUUCCCAUCGAUGAAUCGACGAUGAUCUACUACACCAGGUAGAUAUGACUUGUUUUGUUUUUCUUGCUUUUUGAUGGACUAAAAAGAAGAUAAUAUAUAGUAGUUUUUUUUGGUCAAUAAAGGAAACUGUUUUAUUC